CAGCGGGAGAGUCGCCGAAGACCGGCCGCUGCGGGUUCUCCUCGUUCGCCCUCUCCCUCUCAACAAACCUAAAGCCUCGGAACCCGCAAAGCCGUAAGCUCCUUUCGUGCACAACAACCCUUCGCAGAAUCCCGGCGCUGCAGCCACGAACAGGAACACGGACGUCCCGCCCCUUUGGCCGCCGCCCCCUCUUAUUGUUUUACCCCUGCUGAAAGGGCCAGGGAACCCCCCAGCACAACGCCAGCCAAUCACGAAUCUCCUUUGAACUCCGGACCCAACCUCCUCGCGUCCCUGCGCGGAGCACGCGCAGUGCGCCACCGCACUCGCGGACUCUCGCGCCGGAAAGCCGGGCGCCUCAACCGAGCUGCAGCCGGCGGGGGCGCUGAUCUGACGUCACAGGGGCGGCCGCUCCCGCCCCGCACGCACGGUGCCACACCUCUGCGCAGCGGCGUUCCGGGCCUCCGCGAACGCGCACGGGGGUCAGCGAUGUGCAGGUGCCCAGUCGCGCUCCGGCAGCCGUUGUCUUCACCUGUGCACGCUAGUAAUCCGUUCUGGGGAAGAGGAUCAGGUCGUGUGAAUCUCUUACAGAAAUGUAUCCCGGGGCUGCCGAAGCUAGGCCAGCUAGGCUCUGGGCUGCGGGAAAGCCACUACUCGGCUCCACGGACAGAGGACUUCUUGAUGCUCCGUGUAACCCUAGGGUACAGCCAACCUCUCCUCAUUAGUGUCAGCAUCAACCCUGUGUCCAGUCAAUGCUUCUUCUGGGUGACUGCAGAAACUUCCUGCAGGGUCAGCGUGUGAGGUGGGAACCUCCUUGGGACCAAGAUGCAAUCCCCAACCCUAGAGCAUGACCCUAAACUGCCCCAGGUCUUGGAGGCUCCCUGUGAAGGGAAUGGAGCUGCGAGUUGCUGCUCAGGAGUGAACUCUGCACAGGAAAGCAGGCCAGGGAAGAGAUGGCCAUAAAGCAGUCAUAUCUGAG
RNAcentral lists this long non-coding RNA (976 nucleotides) under Fukomys damarensis (Damara mole-rat). RNAcentral's name for it is "lncRNA (ENSFDAG00000023270.1)". The record is from RNAcentral. Lineage: Eukaryota; Metazoa; Chordata; Mammalia; Rodentia; Bathyergidae.